GAUGAAGAACGUAGCGAAAUGCGAUACGUAAUGUGAAUUGCAGAAUUCAGUGAAUCAUCGAAUCUUUGAACGCAUAUUGCGCUCUCUGGUAUUCCGGAGAGCAUGCUUGUUUGAGUAUCAGUAAACACCUCAACUCUUUUUUCUUUUUUGAAAUUGGAGCUGGACUUGAGUGAUCCCAACGCUUUCUUCCAAGAAAGUGGCGGGUUGCUUGAAAUGCAGGUGCAGCUGAACUUUUCUCUGAGCUAUAAGCAUAUCUAUUUAGUCUGCCUAAAAAACAGAUUAUUACCUUUGCUGCAGCUAACAUAAAGGAGACUAGUUCUUGUGCUGACUGAUGCAGCAUUCACAGAGACAGCUUCGGCUGACUUUGUAAACUCGAUCUCAAAUCAAGUAAGACUACCCGCUGAACUUAAGCAUAUCAAUAAGCGGAGGA
Molecule: unclassified non-coding RNA, 430 nt
Filed under: soil metagenome
Description: partial contains 5.8S ribosomal RNA, internal transcribed spacer 2, and large subunit ribosomal RNA
Rfam family: 5.8S ribosomal RNA (bases 1-120)
Source: RNAcentral